Molecule: ribosomal RNA, 468 nt
Filed under: uncultured bacterium
Lineage: Bacteria
Description: partial 16S ribosomal RNA
Rfam family: Bacterial small subunit ribosomal RNA
Source: RNAcentral
GACGAACGCUGGCGGCGUGCUUAACACAUGCAAGUCGAACGGAAAGGCCCUGCUUUUGUGGGGUGCUCGAGUGGCGAACGGGUGAGUAACACGUGAGUAACCUGCCCUUGACUUUGGGAUAACUUCAGGAAACUGGGGCUAAUACCGGAUAGGAGCUCCUGCUGCAUGGUGGGGGUUGGAAAGUUUCGGCGGUUGGGGAUGGACUCGCGGCUUAUCAGCUUGAUGGUGGGGUAGUGGCUUACCAAGGCUUUGACGGGUAGCAGGCCUGAGAGGGUGACCGGCCACAUUAGGACUGGGAUGCGGCCCAGACUCCUACGGGACGCGGCGGUGGGGAAUAUUGCACAAUGGGCGGAAGCCUGAUGCAGCAACGCCGCGUGCGGUGUGACGGCAAUCGGGUUGUAAACCGCUUCCGCCUGUGACGAAGCGUUAGUGACGGUAAUGGGUAAAGAAGCACCGGCUAACUACGUG